RNAcentral lists this ribosomal RNA (769 nucleotides) under uncultured crenarchaeote. Its description in RNAcentral is "bacterial SSU rRNA". It matches the Rfam family "Archaeal small subunit ribosomal RNA", at positions 105 to 859 of the family's 1478-position model. The record is from RNAcentral. Lineage: Archaea; Thermoproteati; Thermoproteota.
UAUCACUACCUUCAGUGGAGAAUAACCUCGGGAAACUGAGGCUAAUACUUCAUAGUUGGAAAUUCCUGGAAUGGUUUUCCAUCGAAAGAUAUUUCUAAAUGCAGAAAAUUCGCUGAAGGAUAGGAUCGCUUUCGAUUACGGUUGUUGGUGAGGUAAUGGCUCACCAAGCCUAUGAUCGGUAAGGGCCGUGAGAGCGGUAGCCCUGAGAUGGAUACUGAGACAAUGAUCCAGGCCUUACGAGGCGCAGCAGGCGCGAAACCUUUACAAUGCACGAAAGUGUGAUAAGGUUACCCGGAGUGCUAAAAUUAAAUUUUAGCUGUUAUAGGUGUGUAAAUAACCCUAUGAGAAAGGAGAGGGCAAGGCUGGUGCCAGCCGCCGCGGUAAAACCAGCUCUUCAAGUGGUCGGGAAUAUUAUUGGGCUUAAAGUGUCCGUAGCCGGUUUGGUAAGUUCCUGGUUAAAUCUGGCAGCUUAACUGUCAGUCAGCUAGGAAUACUACUUUACUAGAGGGUGGGAAAGGUUUGAGGUACUCCAGGGGUAGCGGUGAAAUGCGAUAAUCCUUGGGGGACCACCAGUGGCGAAGGCGUCAGACUGGAACACGCCUGACGGUGAGGGACGAAAGCCAGGGGAGCGAACGGGAUUAGAUACCCCGGUAGUCCUGGCCGUAAACGAUGCGUGCUAGGUGUUGGUAGGGCUUUGAGCUGUAUCAGUGCCGUAGGGAAACUGUUAAGCGCGCCGCCUGGGAAGUACGCUCGCAAGGGUGAAACUUAA